AGAGCGCAGGGUGGAUGCCUUGGCACUAAGAGCCGAUGAAAGACGUGAUAAGCUGCGAAAAGCUUCGGGGAGGAGCAAAUAUCCGAUGAUCCGGAGAUAUCUGAAUGGGGAAACCCGGCUGGACAGACUCCAGUCAUCCAUACGCCAAUCCAUAACGUAUGGAAGGGAACCCGGUGAACUGAAACAUCUAAGUAGCCGGAGGAAGAGAAAACAACAAGUGAUUCUGUGAGUAGCGGCGAGCGAAAACGGAAGAGCCCAAACCGGAAUGCGUGCAUUCCGGGGUUCGGACCGCGUAAUUGAUCUGAUAAGUUUAGCAGAAUGGUUUUGGGAAAGCCAGCCAGAGAGGGUGAAAGCCCCGUAAGCGAAAGACGAGUCAGCAAGGCGGGAUCCAGAGUACCACGAGACACGAGAAACCUUGUGGGAAUGAGCGGGGACCACCCCGUAAGGCUAAAUACUCCUUAGUGACCGAUAGCGCAUAGUACUGUGAAGGAAAGGUGAAAAGGACCCCGGGAGGGGAGUGAAAGAGAACCUGAAACCCUGUGUUUACAAGCUGUGGAACAUCUUUAUAUGAUGAACCGCGUACUUUUUGUAGAACGGUCCGGCGAGUUACGCCAUCUGGCGAGGUUAAGUUCUUAAGGAAUGGAGCCGAAGUGAAAACAAGUCUUAAUAGGGCGUGAAGUCAGAUGGAGUAGACCCGAAACCGGGUGAUCUAUCCAUGUCCAGGAUGAAGUUGCCGUAAAAGGCAAUGGAGGUCCGAACCCACAUCCGUUGAAAAGGGUGGGGAUGAGGUGUGGAUAGGGGAGAAAUUCCAAUCGAACCCGGAGAUAGCUGGUUCUCCUCGAAAUAGCUUUAGGGCUAGCCUCAUGAGAGUCUUUUGGAGGUAGAGCACUGAAUUCCCGCGGGGGCGUCAAAGCUUACCAAAGGAUAUCAAACUCCGAAUGCCAGUAAGAUGAUUCAUGGGAGUCAGACUACACGAGAUAAGUUGGGUAGUCAAAAGGGAAAGAGCCCAGACCUGCAGCUAAGGUCCCAAAAUGUGUGUUAAGUGGAAAAGGAUGUGGGAUUUCAAAGACAACCAGGAUGUUGGCUUAGAAGCAGCCAUACAUUAAAAGAGUGCGUAAUAGCUCACUGGUCGAGAGGUCCUGCGCCGAAAAUGUCCGGGGCUGAAACACACUACCGAAGCUCAGGAAUUAACGUAGUUAAUUGGUAGAGGAGCAUUCUUAAAGGGAAGAAGCAGUACCGGAAGGAGCUGUGGACUUUUAAGAAGAGAGAAUGCCGGAAUGAGUAGCGAGAGGAAGGUGAGAAUCCUUCCGGCCGAAUACCCAAGGUUUCCAGAGUAAAGCUGAUCUGCUCUGGGUAAGUCGGGGCCUAAGGUGAGGUCGAAAGACGUAGCCGAUGGACAACAGGUUGAAAUUCCUGUACUGCAGUAUAACAGAACUGUGGGGACGCAGAGGGAGAGCACUAGCGGGAAUGGAAUCCCGCGGCAAGCGAGGUAGGAGUAGAGUUGGCAAAUCCGCUCUAUAAUCCGAAGACGUGAUGCAUACCGAACUGAAGUAGGGAAAUGUGUGAGCCAGCUGCCAAGAAAAGCCGCUAUUGUUUGUACUGUACCCGUACCGUAAACCGACACAGGUAGGUGAGGAGAGAAUCCUAAGGCCGACGGGAGAAGCAUUGUUAAGGAACUCGGCAAAAUGACUCCGUAACUUCGGGAGAAGGAGUGCCAGUGAGAGCUGGCCGCAGAGAAUUGGCCCAAGCAACUGUUUAGCAAAAACACAGGUCUAUGCAAAACCGUAAGGUGAAGUAUAUGGGCUGACGCCUGCCCGGUGCUGGAAGGUUAAGGGGAGAGGUUAGCGCAAGCGAAGCUUUGAACUUAAGCCCCAGUAAACGGCGGCCGUAACUAUAACGGUCCUAAGGUAGCGAAAUUCCUUGUCGGGUAAGUUCCGACCCGCACGAAAGGCGUAAUGAUUUGGGCACUGUCUCAAC
RNAcentral lists this ribosomal RNA (1977 nucleotides) under gut metagenome. Its description in RNAcentral is "bacterial LSU rRNA". It matches the Rfam family "Bacterial large subunit ribosomal RNA", at positions 14 to 2025 of the family's 2925-position model. The record is from RNAcentral.